Molecule: RNA transcript, 3795 nt
Organism: Capsicum annuum
Lineage: Eukaryota; Viridiplantae; Streptophyta; Magnoliopsida; Solanales; Solanaceae
Exons: 15
Source: RefSeq, a predicted model, not a curated record
GUAUUUGGCAGAUGGGAGGAGAAAGAGUUUAAUUUUUUUUUUUUUUCUUUUUACAAUUUUCAAAGUUAUCCCAGAAUAGGAAAGAAAACUUUGUUAGUAGUACAGUAUUAUCUUACAGCAAGCAACUUGCUGACAGUCCGGUGCACCGACAGCUGUUGCAAUGCACGGUGUUCAAGAAAGGCCCCAUAAAGGUGUAUGUAUGCGGCCGCAUUUCUGCUGGAGGCUAUUUCCAAGUAUUUCACCCUUGAGGUCAUUCAAAAAACCUUUGGCUGUUUCCAUAUAGUAGUAAAAUUUUGUGCUUACUGCGUAUGCACAAGCUGUAUAGUUCAUUCAGAAGCUAUUCAUGACCCUGUCUCUCCCCACUUCUCCUUCUCGGGUUGACUUAUAACAAUAUGAUAAAUAUGUGAGAAUUUACUUUAAAUUUAUACUAUAAAGGGUUACCUUUUGUUUAUUCAUGUGUUAGGUUCUUGAUCCCAGAUCCCGAAGUGGCUAGUUGUCCACUGCAUUCACAUGGUUUUCUUGUAUUUGGGUUACUAAAGAAAGUUUUUGAAAAUUCUAUUUCUGAGUGUUGAAAUCCUUUGUUGCUAGUUGGACAUAUUUCUUGGUUAAAAAUCUUUUCUUCAACUGAAAAUUUGUGUGAAUUGCCUCUUGGUUGCUUUGCUGUGCUCCGGUUUUGAAUAUUGGAAGGUUGUUGUCUCUGCGGCAGAUUAAAUCGAGAAGAUUUGAAUAGGAAGGAGAAGGUUGUUUAGGAUAUAUAUAUAUAUAUAUAUAUAUAUCAUGUUCGCUAUCCAGAAAUGGAGGUGUUCAUGGUCCACUGUGGCAAAAGUUGCUUCAAUUGUGACAUUAGUUUCAGUUGUUCAUUUAUUCCUCUACCCCGUCGUGCCUUCCUUGGAUUACUUUAGGAAGUUUCAGAACUUUUGUGUCCCUAUGUCUAUGAAUACAUCCAAUUCCAAUGACAAGUCAACUGAAGGUAUCCAGAAGAAUCCAACAGGCAUUAUAUCAACUGAAGGAAGUCAAAGCAAUCUUGGUAGAAGCCCCAUGCCAAUGAUUGAUCUGAAUGUCAGAUUUCCUCUUGAUUUACACAAUGCUGUUGUAUAUCGUGGUGCUCCAUGGAAGGCUGAGGUUGGCCGGUGGUUAGCUGGUUGCGAUUCAAAUACUUCUGCUGUUAAAGUUGUUGAGCAAAUUGGUGGCAAGAGCUGCAGGAAUAAUUGCAGCGGUCAAGGCAUUUGCAAUCGCGAAUUGGGUCAAUGCCGCUGCUUUCAUGGUUUCACUGGUGAAGAAUGUGCCGAGAGGCAGGAGUUGAGCUGCAACUACCCUGGAUCAAAGGAGCAACCUUUUGGGAACUGGGUUGUCUCAGUUUGUCCUGCUUAUUGUGACACAACAAGAGCAAUGUGCUUUUGUGGGGAAGGCACAAAAUACCCAAAUCGUCCUGUUGCUGAGGCAUGUGGUUUUACAAUCAAUCCUCCAUCUGAACCUGGUGGUGCUCCUAUGACUGACUUCACAAAAGCUGAUCUCGACGUCUUUACUAUAAAUGGUAGCAGACGAGGAUGGUGUAAUGUGGAUCCGGUAGAAGCAUAUGCUUCCAAGGUGCUUUUCAAGGAGGAGUGUGAUUGCAAGUAUGACGGUCUUUGGGGUCGAUUCUGUGAGGUGUCUGUGCUAAGCACUUGUAUAAAUCAAUGCUCGGGCCACGGGUUCUGCCGCGGUGGAUUUUGUCAGUGUGAUAACGGUUGGUUCGGAGCAGAUUGCAGUGUACCCUCCGUUAUGUCAUCCAUUAGAGAGUGGCCUCUCUGGCUGCGACCUGCACAGGUUAAUGUUCCUGAGAAUAUGAACAGCAGAGGAAAUCUUGUCAAUCUAGAUGCUAUUGCGGAGAAGAAAAGGCCCCUUAUAUAUGUUUAUGACUUGCCCCCAGAGUUCAACAGUCUUCUUCUGGAGGGACGACAUUUUAAACUAGAAUGCGUAAACAGAAUCUAUGAUCCGAGAAAUGCUACAGUAUGGACAGACCAGCUGUAUGGUGCACAGAUGGCACUCUAUGAAAGUAUGUUAGCUAGCCCUCAUCGGACAUUAAAUGCAGAGGAAGCAGAUUUUUUCUUUGUUCCAGUUCUUGACUCAUGUAUUAUAACUCGUGCUGAUGAUGCUCCACACUUGAGCUUGCAGGAACACGUCCAUGGGGGGUUGAGAAGUUCUCUGACGCUUGAAUUCUAUAGAAAGGCUUACGAUCAUAUUAUCACACAGUAUCCUUAUUGGAACCGCUCAUCUGGAAAGGAUCACAUCUGGUUCUUCUCAUGGGAUGAGGGUGCUUGCUAUGCUCCUAAAGAGAUAUGGAACAGCAUUAUGUUGGUCCAUUGGGGUAAUACAAACUCAAAGCAUAACCAUUCAACAACAGCAUAUUGGGGUGAUAAUUGGGAUCCAAUUUCCUCGGAUAGAAGAGGUAACCACCCCUGUUUUGACCCAGAUAAAGAUCUCGUACUUCCUGCUUGGAAACAACCAGAUGAAGGUUCCCUAAAUGCUAAACAUUGGUCCAGACCUCGUGAGAAGCGGAAAACAUUCUUCUAUUUUAAUGGAAAUCUUGGACCGGCUUAUGAAAAUGGAAGACCAGAAGCUACGUAUAGUAUGGGCAUAAGGCAAAAUGUGGCUGAAGAAUUUGGAUCAACCCCUAACAAGGAAGGUAAGCUUGGCAAGCAGUAUGCAGAAGAUGUGAUAGUGACACCACUACGUGCUGUGAACUAUCAUGAGGAAUUGGCAAGUUCUGUCUUUUGUGGGGUUAUGCCUGGGGAUGGUUGGAGUGGACGAAUGGAAGAUAGUAUUUUGCAAGGAUGCAUUCCUGUGGUGAUUCAGGAUGGGAUAUACCUGCCAUAUGAGAAUUUUCUCAACUAUGAAAGUUUUGCCGUUAGGAUACGUGAAGAUGACGUACCCAAUCUAUUAAACAUUCUUCGGAGUUUUAACGAGACAGAAAUCGAAUUUAAACUGGGGAAUGUGAAGAAAAUCUGGCAGAGAUUUUUAUAUCGCGAUUCAGUUGUUCUUGAAGCUGAGAGGCAAAAGGCAGUACGUGGGAGUGUUGAGGACUGGGGUCUAAAGUUCUCGCAGCUCAUGGAAGAUGAUGUCCUUGCCACAUUCAUACAGGUGUUGCAUUACAAGUUGCAUAAUGACCCUUGGAGACGAGAACUUCUGCAGAAAAAGGAAUUUGGAUUGCCUAAUGAAUGCUUGAUUCGAACAGAGUGAGAAACUACUUUAUACUUGGACCUGAAACGGGAUUCAACACAUGGAGGGUUUUACUGUGGAUUGGAAACAGAUAAGUGUAUACAGCUGCAGUAAGGAAAAUUUUUUGGUCAGUAUACCAAUUUUUGAGACUACUUUUUGUGCAGGGACAGCUGAAGGCAAAAAUAUGUCUUCUAUUCAUGUAAAUAAGUUGGCUUCUCUAGGAGCUAUAUUUUGUACAAGAUGAAAAUUAGGAUGGAAAUUGCAGCUGAAGGAGCUAAGCUCGAUGAACAACUAUGGCUGAUAAGAGAUUGAAAUUCCGAGAACUCGGCUAAUUAGAGAAGAAGAGAGAUUUAAGGAGAGAUGUAGAAAGUUCAAUUGAUAGUAUUUAUAGACAAAGUAGCCCCCAACAACUACCUCUAACUAUCUAACUAAUAAUUGGAAUUUGCUACAGUGAUAGUAACCUACUGCUAAAGUAAUAACAGACUAAUGAAUAGUAGAGUGAUGUAACAGUAUGUCAUGACCCGAAUUAGGGUCUAGUUGCACGAAUCGAGGAAACCGAAGGAAGGCUAAAGACACCAAGGCAAUAACCAUCCAAAA